UCGCUCCUACCGAUACCGGGUGAUAAGAUGAAUUUGUUGGACCGUGCUCACGAGAAGAUAAGUAAACCUUAUCACCUAGAGGAAGGAG
RNAcentral lists this ribosomal RNA (88 nucleotides) under uncultured eukaryote. Its description in RNAcentral is "partial small subunit ribosomal RNA". The record is from RNAcentral.